UACGGGGGGGGCAAGCGUUGUUCGGAAUUACUGGGCGUAAAGGGCGCGUAGGUGGCCAACUAAGUCAGACGUGAAAUCCCUCGGCUUAACCGGGGAACUGCGUCUGAUACUGGAUGGCUUGAGUUUGGGAGAGGGACGCGGAAUUCCAGGUGUAGCGGUGAAAUGCGUAGAUAUCUGGAGGAACACCGGUGGCGAAGGCGGCAUCCUGGACCAACACUGACACUGAGGAGCGAAAGCCAGGGGAGCAAACGGG
This 253-nucleotide ribosomal RNA is filed under the name uncultured bacterium. RNAcentral's name for it is "partial 16S ribosomal RNA". It matches the Rfam family "Bacterial small subunit ribosomal RNA", at positions 524 to 776 of the family's 1533-position model. The record is from RNAcentral.